This 1281-nucleotide long non-coding RNA is filed under the name Homo sapiens (human). RNAcentral's name for it is "HSALNT0293415". The record is from RNAcentral. Lineage: Eukaryota; Metazoa; Chordata; Mammalia; Primates; Hominidae.
ACACUUGAAGAAAUUUAUUGUUUCGUUGAGCAUUAUUACAGAUCAGCAUUGUCAAGAACCAAUGGUGUUCCCUGAAGAAAGAAUACAACAUGGGACACAGGACUCUCAGAAAGUAAUUGGCACAUCUUUGAAGCAGCUGUCCAGUGGUUCUUGGAGCCUCACUGCUAAACCGUCAGUAAGAAAAAUACUGACUCUGCAAAACCAAAUACAUCUGGAAUCCGAAUCCUCUUGCAAAACUCUGAGCAGUGAUAUCCAACCUUUCUGGCACCCAGAGACCACCGGACCUCCUUUUCUACAAUCAAGCCAAACCAGUUCCUGUUGUUGGUGCCAAGAUAGACUACAGCUGGAAAUUCCCCAAAUGACCAACAGAUCACCUGGUGCCAACUGACUGACCACCAGGAAGAGCGACUAUUGACUUUGGGCUUAAAAGUCAUCUAAUCCACACUGUUUCUCACUCCCCUGACUACCCUCCUCUGCCCUGAGGUUUUUUUGCCUUUAUAAUCUCCUAUUCACUGACCCUGCCUGAGAGCAUGAUUUCUUUUUACACCAGGGGCUGCAUCUCCCCAAUCUGCAAAUUGUUUCUUAUGGAAAAUGAAGCUUUCUCUUUUCCUUCCACAGAUCUCAUGGUCUUUUGUUACAAGGAACCUGUCUCAAGACAGUCAUACUCUGUUAAUUCACUAUAACACUAAGAACCUCAAUGGAGUUCAGGUCUAUGAGAAUGAUUCAUUCAUAACAUCUAUCACCUUAAAAUUUAUUGACUAGGGCCUAAGGCACAACUGCCUUGCCCUGGGCUGAAUUCUACCCUAGGGCAGAGUUUUCGGUGGCCUCGGUGUACUCUUAGUAGUAUUUCUACUAAAAAGCCAACAUAGAGGGCAUAGACUCCAAGCCUUAGAGACUCAAACAAGAAACAACAUUUGACCAUUCCAUGCCCUCCAAAUCUAUUGGAUGCCACCAAACAAAGGCAAAAAAAAAAGCAGAUUUCAUAACACGAAAAACAAUAUAUUCUCUAUCUUUCAGCAUUGUGAGGGAAGGUGUCUGGUCUGGAAUCAUUUCUCAGUAUAAUGCACACCCCAAAGCAGCUUAACACAGCGGUAAGCCUAGAUGAAAGCAUUCAUGUCAAUUACAUGGAAAUGUUCUUUCACCAAGAUUGAGAAGCCACACUUGGGACAUUCAGUCCUCUAGACAAAAUGUAUUUGAAAUGGAAACUGAGAAAGCAAAGAGAAGCAUUUGUUCCUUUCCAGGUGAGAGGCAAGAGAAAGUCUUGUGUAAGAUAGCUGCUAG